AUGGAGGUAGUGCUGAAUGAAUGUCAGCCAAAAUUAAGUUCUUCAAGUUUUUGCAGCAAAUUAGGGUCACCACUGGGGCCGACCGAGCUGAGUGGGUCAGCCGUGGACCACAAGCCCCUGCUGCAGGAGUGGCUGUUGGCCUACAAACUGCAGGCCGUCCAGGGCAACUGUGCAUGCACCCUGCACAGCUAUGGUGCCACCCCUGCCAGCCCCCGCCAAAGCCCUACCCCUACCUCAUCACAGGGGUACCCACCCGCCACCCCAGGGUCUACAACAUCUACAGCCGGACUGCCACCCAGUACCCUGCCAACUCCAUCACGGUCGUGGGAAGCUGUCCCCUCUGCAGGGUUGGGGGUGCUGGAGGACUGCUUCACCUUCCUGGGCAUCUUCCUGGUCAUCAUCCUGUUCCCCUUUGGGUUCAUCUGCUGUUUUGCCUCGAGGAAGCGAAGAUGCCCCAACUGCCGAGAGACCUUAGCUUAAAGGGAACACCACUCCCGGCUUUCCUACACCCAACUCUCUUUUUCUAAUGUAAAUUUCGUGUAUAAUAGUUUCAUUUGAUUAAGCUCAGGACUGUUUUGUAAAGCAAGAUGGGAUAGAU
Mandrillus leucophaeus (drill) is the source of this 598-nucleotide RNA transcript. It is a transcript of the gene named brain protein I3 pseudogene, with no coding region annotated. The record is from RefSeq and is a predicted model, not a curated record. Lineage: Eukaryota; Metazoa; Chordata; Mammalia; Primates; Cercopithecidae. The transcript is spliced from 3 exons.